GUAGGUGGCAAGCGUUGUCCGGAAUUAUUGGGCGUAAAGCGCGCGCAGGCGGUCCUUUAAGUCUGAUGUGAAAGCCCACGGCUCAACCGUGGAGGGUCAUUGGAAACUGAGGGACUUGAGUACAGAAGAGGAAAGCGGAAUUCCACGUGUAGCGGUGAAAUGCGUAGAGAUGUGGAGGAACACCAGUGGCGAAGGCGGCUUUCUGGUCUGUAACUGACGCUGAGGCGCGAAAGCGUGGGGAGCAAACAGGGAUUAGAUACCCUGGUAGUCCACGCCGUAAACGAUGAGUGCUAAGUGUUAGGGGGUUUCCGCCCCCUUAGUGCUGCAGCUAACGCAUUAAGCACUCCGCCUGGGGAGUACGACCGCAAGGUUG
RNAcentral lists this ribosomal RNA (373 nucleotides) under uncultured organism. RNAcentral describes it as "partial 16S ribosomal RNA". It matches the Rfam family "Bacterial small subunit ribosomal RNA", at positions 527 to 896 of the family's 1533-position model. The record is from RNAcentral.